Molecule: long non-coding RNA, 435 nt
Filed under: Setaria viridis
Lineage: Eukaryota; Viridiplantae; Streptophyta; Magnoliopsida; Poales; Poaceae
Description: long non-coding RNA (SVIR_LNC003987)
Source: RNAcentral
GAUAUCUGGUCAAUGGGAGGACAAAAGGGGGGACAAUAUAGAGCGUCGACGUGAGAGGAUCUCUAGUCUAGUGGUUAGAGCAUCUGAGUAGUAUCUAGCAGAGUAGGUUCGUGUUCAACUGGAAUAUGUAGGGACUUCCCCUACUGACUUCAAUCAAAUAUAGAGUGUCGACUUAAACGCCAAUAGAACUGAUACUGUAUUGUGAGCUCAUUGUUGGAGGGACCUUUGCAUGGACUGUUUGGACAAAUUGUUUGUAAUUUUUUUUGAUAGUUUAAACAAGAUUCUUUUUUAUGAUUCCAUACAAUUGCUAUCAUUUUGCGUUGAGAAGCUGAGGUCAAUUACGGGGCAAAUGUUUGCCUUCUACGUUUCUUCACUUCUUCCCCCGUAUACGUUAGUGUUGACAAUGCCCGUCAAUAUAACAUGCCAACACUCGAG